GCCGCGAAAGAACCUGACGGACCAGAACGAAAAAAUUACUAUAAAUUCCGUUUUUGACAUACUUUUUGGGAUCUUUCCAUCUUUUCUUUUCUCCUAAACCUAAUAAACACCUUUGGGAGACUUGGAGGCAAUUUCGUGGUGGAGAGGGAGGCUAGGCCCUUGAGGGCCGGUGUCAGGGUCAUGGAGGAGGUGACAGCUUCUCCGGACGUCCAUGGCUCCGUUCUAUUUUGGGAGAUGAUUUGGAGAAAAAUAGAAAAAAUCCAAGAAAUAAGGAGAAAUUCGUGCCUGGCAUCUUUCCCAACGGACGAAACCGCUGCAAUAGCACCAGAUUUCACCUGCUGUUUAAUGUAGCGAAGAUCAAACCGCCGCGAAAGAACCUGACGGACCAGAACGAAAAAAUUACUAUAAAUUCCGUUUUUGACAUACUUUUUGGGAUCUUUCCAUCUUUUCUUUUCUCCUAAACCUAAUAAACACCUUUGGGAGACUUGGAGGCAAUUUCGUGGUGGAGAGGGAGGCUAGGCCCUUGAGGGCCGGUGUCAGGGCCAUGGAGGAGGUGACAGCUUCUCCGGACGUCCAUGGCUCCGUUCUAUUUUGGGAGAAAAGUCAAGAAGAUCCAACUAUUUGAAGAUCAAAAGGGGCUAAAAAUAUUGAAGUUCGCUUAAGCCAAAAGUUGACUCGCUUAAGCCAAACUACAUGGCAGUAGCAGUGGCAGAUAUAUUGAAGUUCGCUUAAGCCAAAUGUUGCCUCGCUUAAGCCAAAUUACAUGGCAGUAGCAGUGGUUCUGGAAGACAAUUCGGCUUAAGCGAGAAAUGGUCUCGCUUAAGCCAAAGACCUUACCUGAACGUGAAGAAACCUGCUCGCUUAAGCGACAUCUUUAUCAGCUUAAGCGAGAUUGCUGUCCUGUUUUAUAAAAAGCUAGACCAAAUCAGAAUUGGAUGAUCUCUUGACAUAUUUUGGACCUCUUAGAAAGAAAAUUGCAUAGAGAAGAAGGAAAGGAACUUUGGGAGCUUUGAUCCACCAUCCAUCGUGCUGGAGACACACCGAGGACGGCACGGGUCACCGCUUUCACCUUAGUUUCCUCUUGUAAACUUUGUAAGCAAUCCAUGGAUAUGGGUUGCUAAGUUUCUUUGUUGGAUUUGGAUGUAGCCUUUAACUAUGAUUUGUUCUUCUUGAUUUCUAUAUGUAAUAUAGUU
Lotus japonicus is the source of this 1193-nucleotide long non-coding RNA. RefSeq lists it as uncharacterized. Lineage: Eukaryota; Viridiplantae; Streptophyta; Magnoliopsida; Fabales; Fabaceae. The record is from RefSeq and is a predicted model, not a curated record. The transcript has 3 exons.